RNAcentral lists this non-coding RNA (100 nucleotides) under Eubacterium ruminantium. Its description in RNAcentral is "GEMM cis-regulatory element". It matches the Rfam family "c-di-GMP-I riboswitch aptamer". From Rfam's summary of the family: GEMM was predicted in a large-scale screen for bacterial structured RNA regulatory elements. Genes associated with GEMM are involved in a diverse array of functions, including chemotaxis regulation, signal transduction, secretion and chitin. The record is from RNAcentral. Lineage: Bacteria; Bacillati; Bacillota; Clostridia; Eubacteriales; Eubacteriaceae.
UUAAUAAUUUGGCAAAAUACAGGAAACUGUAUGACGCAAAGCUAUAGGGUCUAAAAUCAAAAGGAGAAAUGUUUUGGUUAUCUGACAGCCAGUUGUAUUU